RNAcentral lists this ribosomal RNA (633 nucleotides) under Escherichia coli. Its description in RNAcentral is "bacterial SSU rRNA". It matches the Rfam family "Bacterial small subunit ribosomal RNA", at positions 72 to 698 of the family's 1533-position model. The record is from RNAcentral. Lineage: Bacteria; Pseudomonadati; Pseudomonadota; Gammaproteobacteria; Enterobacterales; Enterobacteriaceae.
GAAGAAGCUUGCUUCUUUGCUGACGAGUGGCGGACGGGUGAGUAAUGUCUGGGAAACUGCCUGAUGGAGGGGGAUAACUACUGGAAACGGCAGCUAAUACCGCAUAACGUCGCAAGACCAAAGAGGGGGACCUUCGGGCCUCUUGCCAUCGGAUGUGCCCAGAUGGGAUUAGCUAGUAGGUGGGGUAACGGCUCACCUAGGCGACGAUCCCUAGCUGGUCUGAGAGGAUGACCAGCCACACUGGAACUGAGACACGGUCCAGACUCCUACGGGAGGCAGCAGUGGGGAAUAUUGCACAAUGGGCGCAAGCCUGAUGCAGCCAUGCCGCGUGUAUGAAGAAGGCCUUCGGGUUGUAAAGUACUUUCAGCGGGGAGGAAGGGAGUAAAGUUAAUACCUUUGCUCAUUGACGUUACCCGCAGAAGAAGCACCGGCUAACUCCGUGCCAGCAGCCGCGGUAAUACGGAGGGUGCAAGCGUUAAUCGGAAUUACUGGGCGUAAAGCGCACGCAGGCGGUUUGUUAAGUCAGAUGUGAAAUCCCCGGGCUCAACCUGGGAACUGCAUCUGAUACUGGCAAGCUUGAGUCUCGUAGAGGGGGGUAGAAUUCCAGGUGUAGCGGUGAAAUGCGUAGAGAUC